Molecule: long non-coding RNA, 1704 nt
Organism: Aegilops tauschii subsp. strangulata
Lineage: Eukaryota; Viridiplantae; Streptophyta; Magnoliopsida; Poales; Poaceae
Source: RefSeq, a predicted model, not a curated record
GUGUACUGAGGACGAUGGGAGGGGUGAGGAGCCGAGGAGAGCCUGGACGAACCCUCUCCCGUAAACCUAGCGCACCAGGUCCAAUCCACUCCGUCCUCGAGCCCCACGCCAUUCAUCUUCCUCUCCGCGCCGUCCGGCCUCCCCUGCUCCACGACCCUCUGCCUCAGGGCCUCCCGCACCGCCGCCUUCUCUUCCGGGCCUCUUCUCUGGCGCUCGAGAUGCAGCCGGGGCGACCUCCUCCUCUUCCUCUCCUCCUUCCCUGCCUCCGGAUCUAGACAAGUGAAAUCUGGAGGGGAGACGAGUAAAGGGCGACGGAGGCGGCACUCGAGCAGAUGAGAGGGAGAGAGAAGGAAGAAGAGGCGGUGCUCGAGCAGAUGAGAGGGAGAGAGAGGUAGGUGCAGCAAGGCGACGGACGGGAGAGGGGCGAAGGCGAGCUCCAGCGCGAGCGCGUGGACCCGUCACCCACGCCGGCGAGGUCCUCGGCCCCGAGCUGUGCCUCUACCACCGCGAAGGGGACUGCUGCGACCACGCUCGUGCGCACACACACUGUGCCGUCUCCAGGUGCCAGUUGAAGUUACUGCCGGGCUUUAUUGCCCUCCUCUAAUUUGGUGUUGUGGGAGAAAGAAGAAGAGCAGGCAUGUUCUCUGUUUCUACAUCCAGCGUCCACACGGCUAGAUCGACGGGUCUAAACUCUUGAAUACAGAAAGAAUAAGCUACUAGCAUUCCUAAUGUGCAAGUAAACCUACUGGGAUUAUGACUGCAAAAAAAAUUCAUGACAUAUGUUGAAGUAUGGCCUUGAAAGGUAAGUUGAAUGGCUGGAGAUGCUCAAAAGAUGUAACAAAGAGAGAAGAUAAGAGGGAGAGAGAGAAGGAGAAGAGGGAGUACUCGAUUCGAUCUGCAGGAGAGAGAGAAGAUAAGAGGGAGAGAGAGAAGGAAGGAGAGGAGGGAGAACUCCGUUGCCGCCGCGUGCCGUACUUCUGGAUCGAGCGCUGCCUGACCAAGGGAUAAGAGUAGGAGGAUGAGUGGAGCAGCUGCUGAAGCAGGCGCGGCGCUGGUGCGCUGCUGGCGAAGCGGUGGUCAACGGUGCCGUCGACGUCGUCCUUGGCAGAAGGAUUUUGCAAGUUAAAUACUCAUGUGUGCUGAACUGAAAAGUUCUCUAUGCAACAUCUAUUGCAGGCAGGGAUCAACUUUGGUGGCAUCCGAUGCUGGCAGGCCACGGGGUUAGAGCAGAGGAAGCUGACAUGGUGUUCGAAAUUCAGAUGGUCAUUGUGAUAGAAGAAAGUGCAUAAAGAAUGAACAAGGAAAAGCUACAGAUUGAUAUGUCCAGAUUUGAGGAAUCGUUUGGGUUUUAUCUACUUGUCCAUGAAGGAUGCUUCAUGAUGAAAAUUCCUCAUAUAAUGUUUUUUGAGAGGAAGAGUUUAGGGAGUACUAUAUCUCUGAAGAUAUGCCAGAGAAUUGAAUAUGAACUCACAUAAAAGAAUCGAGAUUACAAACGUAGAGGCUUCACUAGAAGAGAGGCCCUUGCUGUAGAUCACAAGAGCCAUGUUUUUUGUAGGUACAAGAACCAUAUUUCUAUUUACGAUUAUCUCCCAGCAAUGAAAGUCGCAUGUGACAAACAUGAAUAAGCUAGGGGAAAAGUCAACUGCUCUCUUCCUUUUUGUUUGAGUGUUAACUUCUGUUUUCAAUUUCCAACUAUUUUCUAUA